Molecule: unclassified non-coding RNA, 299 nt
Organism: Callithrix jacchus (white-tufted-ear marmoset)
Lineage: Eukaryota; Metazoa; Chordata; Mammalia; Primates; Cebidae
Rfam family: Metazoan signal recognition particle RNA
About the family: The signal recognition particle (SRP) is a universally conserved ribonucleoprotein. It is involved in the co-translational targeting of proteins to membranes.
Source: Ensembl
GCCGGGCCCGGUGGUGCGUGCCUAUAGUCCCAGCUACUUAGGAGGCUGAGGCUGGAGGAUCACUUGAGUCCAGGAGUUCUGGGCUGUAGUGUACUAUGCCAAUCGGUGUCCGCACUAAGUUUGUCAUCAAUAUGGUUACCUCCCGGGAGCAGGGGACCACAGGUUGCCUAAGGAGGGGUGAACCUGCCCAGGUCGGAAAUAGGAGCAGGUCAAAACUCCUGUGCUGAUCAGUAGUGGGAUCGCAUCUGUGAAUAGCCACUGCACUCCAGCCUGGGCAACAUAGUGAGACCCCGUCUCUU